RNAcentral lists this long non-coding RNA (570 nucleotides) under Solanum tuberosum (potato). RNAcentral's name for it is "long non-coding RNA (STUB_LNC009691)". Lineage: Eukaryota; Viridiplantae; Streptophyta; Magnoliopsida; Solanales; Solanaceae. The record is from RNAcentral.
AGUGGGUGUAGGUGGAGCUUGGGUAGCUGGUGUUGGAGGCGCUUGGGUAGUGGGUGUAGGUGGUGCUUGGUUAGUGGGUGUUGGAGGAGCCUGGUUAGUGGGUGUUGGUGGAGUCUGUGUAGGUGGUGCUUGAUUAGUAGGGGGUGCCUGUGUUGGUGGUGCCUGUGUAGGUGGUGCUUGGGUAGGGGGUGCCUGUGUUGGUGGUGCCUGCGUAGGUGGUGCUUGGUUAGUAGGGGGUGUCUGUGUUGGUGGUGCCUGUGUAGGUGGUGCUUGGGUAGGGGGUGUUGGAGGUGCUUGACCUCCAACCCCAGCGACGAUAAUGCAGAUCAUAAACCCCAACAAAACAGCAUUAUUCCUACCCAUCAUUUUGACAAUGGAGAGGAGGAAAUUAAAGGAAUGUGAAAGAAGAUAUCUGGUGCUGCUUGGGAAAAGAGAGGUUUGGGAAGGGAAUAUAUAAGAGAUUUUCUAAAAGAAGUAUGGUAUAUAUUUGAAGGUUGGAAAAGAAAGAGUAGAAAGGUGGCAAAUCCAAUUUGUAGUAACAGUGUGAGUUGUGACUACCAAAUACUUAUG